Lemur catta (Ring-tailed lemur) is the source of this 570-nucleotide RNA transcript. It is a transcript of the gene named BCL2/adenovirus E1B 19 kDa protein-interacting protein 3-like, with no coding region annotated. Lineage: Eukaryota; Metazoa; Chordata; Mammalia; Primates; Lemuridae. The record is from RefSeq and is a predicted model, not a curated record. The transcript has a single exon.
AUGUGGCAGAGCGGGCUGGAGCUGCAGGAGAGCCUGCAGGCAUCCUGGGUAGAAGUGCACUUUAGCAACAGUGGGAACGGGAGCAGGUUCCAGCCUCAGUUUCUAUUUAUAAUGGUGACAUGGAGAAAAUACUGCUGGACGCCCAGCAUGAGUCUGGACCAAGCAGCUUCAAGAGUUCUCACAGCCCACCUCCCUCACAGACACAAGAUAUUAAUAGAGCUUCCGAAACAGAUACCCACAGCAUUGGAGGAAAAAACACCUCUCAGUCUGAGGAAGAUUAUAUUGAGAGAAGGAGAGAAGUUGAGAGCAUCUUGAAGAAAAACUCAGAUUGGAUAUAGGCUUGGUCAAGUCAGCCAGAAAAUAUUCCCCCCAAGGAGGUCCUCUGUAAACACCUGAAGCACAGCUACUCCCAGCAUGAGGAACACGAGUGUUAUGAAGAAAGGGGGCAUAUUCUUGGCAGAAUUCCUAAAGGUUUUUCUUCUGUCUCUGCUGCUCUCUCAUCUGCUGGCAAUUGGAUUGGGGAUCUGUAUUGGAAGGCAUCUGACAACCUCUACCAGCAACUUUUGAUGA